RNAcentral lists this ribosomal RNA (484 nucleotides) under uncultured bacterium. RNAcentral describes it as "partial 16S ribosomal RNA". It matches the Rfam family "Bacterial small subunit ribosomal RNA", at positions 30 to 507 of the family's 1533-position model. The record is from RNAcentral.
AUUGAACGCUGGCGGCAGGCCUAACACAUGCAAGUCGAGCGGAUGAAGGGAGCUUGCUCCUGGAUUCAGCGGCGGACGGGUGAGUAAUGCCUAGGAAUCUGCCUGGUAGUGGGGGAUAACGUCCGGAAACGGGCGCUAAUACCGCAUAAGUCCUGAGGGCGAAAGUGGGGGAGCUUCGGACCUCACGCUAUCAGAUGAGCCUAGGUCGGAUUAGCUGGUUGGUGGGGUAAAGGCCUACCACGGCGACGAUCCGUAACUGGUCUGAGAGGAUGAUCAGUCACACUGGAGCUGAGACACGGUCCAGACUCCUACGGGAGGCAGCAGUGGGGAAUAUUGGACAAUGGGCGAAAGCCUGAUCCAGCGAUGCCGCGUGUGUGAAGAAGGUCUUCGGAUUGUAAAGCACUUUAAGUUGGGAGAAAGGGCAGUAAGUUAAUACCUUGCUGUUUUGACGUUACCAACAGAAUAAGCACCGGCUAACUUCGUG